RNAcentral lists this ribosomal RNA (253 nucleotides) under uncultured bacterium. RNAcentral describes it as "partial 16S ribosomal RNA". It matches the Rfam family "Bacterial small subunit ribosomal RNA", at positions 524 to 776 of the family's 1533-position model. The record is from RNAcentral.
UACGUAGGGGGCAAGCGUUGUCCGGAAUCAUUGGGCGUAAAGAGCGUGUAGGCGGCCCGAUAAGUCCGCUGUGAAAGUCCAGGGCUCAACCCUGGGAUGCGGGUGGAUACUGCCGAGCUCGAGUCCGGAAGAGGCGAGUGGAAUUCCUGGUGUAGCGGUGAAAUGCGCAGAUAUCAGGAGGAACACCAAUGGCGAAGGCAGCUCGCUGGGACGUGACUGACGCUGAGACGCGAAAGCGUGGGGAGCAAACAGG